GUAGGUGGCAAGCGUUGUCCGGAAUUAUUGGGCGUAAAGCGCGCGCAGGCGGUUCUUUAAGUCUGAUGUGAAAGCCCACGGCUCAACCGUGGAGGGUCAUUGGAAACUGGAGAACUUGAGUACAGAAGAGGAAAGCGGAAUUCCACGUGUAGCGGUGAAACGCGUAGAGAUGUGGAGGAACACCAGUGGCGAAGGCGGCUUUCUGGUCUGUAACUGACGCUGAGGCGCGAAAGCGUGGGGAGCAAACAGGGAUUAGAUACCCUGGUAGUCCACGCCGUAAACGAUGAGUGCUAAGUGUUAGGGGGGUUUCCCCCCCCCCCCGUUAGUGCUGCAGCUAACGCAUUAAGCACUCCGCCUGGGGAGUACGGCCGCAAGGCUG
Molecule: ribosomal RNA, 379 nt
Filed under: uncultured organism
Description: partial 16S ribosomal RNA
Rfam family: Bacterial small subunit ribosomal RNA
Source: RNAcentral